Molecule: ribosomal RNA, 468 nt
Filed under: uncultured bacterium
Lineage: Bacteria
Description: partial 16S ribosomal RNA
Rfam family: Bacterial small subunit ribosomal RNA
Source: RNAcentral
GACGAACGCUGGCGGCGUGCUUAACACAUGCAAGUCGAACGGAAAGGCCCUGCUUUUGUGGGUUGCUCGAGUGGCGAACGGGUGAGUAACACGUGAGUAACCUGCCCUUGACUUUGGGAUAACUUCAGGAAACUGGGGCUAAUACCGGAUAGGAGCUCCUGCUGCAUGGUGGGGGUUGGAAAGUUUCGGCGGUUGGGGAUGGACUCGCGGCUUAUCAGCUUGUUGGUGGGGUAGUGGCUUACCAAGGCUUUGACGGGUAGCCGGCCUGAGAGGGUGACCGGCCACAUUGGGACUGAGAUACGGCCCAGACUCCUACGGGAGGCAGCAGUGGGGAAUAUUGCACAAUGGGCGGAAGCCUGAUGCAGCAACGCCGCGUGCGUGAUGACGGCCUUCGGGUUGUAAACCGCUUUCGCCUGUGACGAAGCGUGAGUGACGGUAAUGGGUAAAGAAGCACCGGCUAACUACGUG